Molecule: RNA transcript, 1185 nt
Organism: Telopea speciosissima
Lineage: Eukaryota; Viridiplantae; Streptophyta; Magnoliopsida; Proteales; Proteaceae
Gene name: COMPASS-like H3K4 histone methylase component WDR5A
Exons: 3
Source: RefSeq, a predicted model, not a curated record
AAAUUUCCCUCGCAGUUCCUUUCAAGAAAUCAAACCUCGGUUCCAACUUCCAAAUUCUACCGCAUAAAUUACCAUCGAUGGCGUCAGAUCCAACUGUAGCCAUACAACCCUACAAGCUCAAUCAAACCCUAACAGGCCACAAGCGAUCCAUCUCCAGCGUCAAAUUCUCCAACGACGGCAACCUCUUGGGCAGCUCAUCAGCCGACAAAACCAUACGCCUCUGCUCGCCGACCGAUGGUUCUCUCCUUCAAGAGUUCGAAGGCCACGAACAGGGCAUCUCUGACUUUGCAUUCUCUUCUGAUUCCCGUUAUAUCUGCUCUGGCUCAGAUGACAAGACGGUACGGAUAUGGGACGUCCAGACCGGUUCAAUCGUCAAGACACUUCGUGGACACACAAAUUAUGUCUUAUGUGUUAACUACAAUCCUCAGUCGAAUAUGAUCGUGUCCGGUUCGUACGAUGAGACGGUUAGGGUUUGGGAUGUGAAGACCGGGAAAUGCUUGAAGGUCCUUCCAGCCCACUCGGAUCCAGUGACAGCGGUGAACUUUAACCGAGAUGGGUCGUUAAUCGUUUCGAGCAGCUAUGAUGGGUUGUGCAGGAUUUGGGAUGCGUCGACGGGCCACUGCAUGAAGACUCUCAUUGACGAUGAAAAUCCGCCGGUUUCUUUUGUCAAGUUUUCGCCUAAUGGAAAGUUUAUUCUCGCCGGCACAUUGGACAAUACAUUGAGACUAUGGAACUUCUCGACUGGGAAAUGUCUGAAGACAUACACUGGCCAUGUUAAUUCAAAAUACUGCGUUUCAUCCACAUUUUCUGUAACCAAUGGAAAGUAUAUAGUCAGUGGUUCGGAGGAUAACAAGGUCUACUUGUGGGAACUUCAGACAAGAAAAAUUGUCCAGACACUGGAAGGCCACACGGACACUGUUGUAUCUGUUACAUGUCACCCUUCUGAGAACAUGAUAGCAUCUGGUGCAUUUGAAAAGGACAAGACAGUGAAGAUCUGGACUCAGGAGAAAGAAUGAUUCAUUUUUCUGGUAACAGUGUUGCUUUAAUAUAUCAGUUAUUACUAAUGUUAUUUUGUACAUGUACUUUUAUAUCAUGUAGGCAUGGAACUUGUUGUAGGACCAAUAUAGAACAUUUGAACAUAAAGAUGAUAAUAUUGAUUAGAAAAAAUGAUGAUAUCUGUACUUU